GUAGGUGGCAAGCGUUGUCCGGAAUUAUUGGGCGUAAAGCGCGCGCAGGCGGUUCUUUAAGUCUGAUGUGAAAGCCCACGGGCUCAACCGUGGAGGGUCAUUGGAAACUGGAGAACUUGAGUACAGAAGAGGAAAGCGGAAUUCCACGUGUAGCGGUGAAAUGCGUAGAGAUGUGGAGGAACACCAGUGGCGAAGGCGGCUUUCUGGUCUGUAACUGACGCUGAGGCGCGAAAGCGUGGGGAGCAAACAGGAUUAGAUACCCUGGUAGUCCACGCCGUAAACGAUGAGUGCUAAGUGUUAGGGGGUUUCCGCCCCUUAGUGCUGCAGCUAACGCAUCAAGCACUCCGCCUGGGGAGUACGGCCGCAAGGCUG
Molecule: ribosomal RNA, 372 nt
Filed under: uncultured organism
Description: partial 16S ribosomal RNA
Rfam family: Bacterial small subunit ribosomal RNA
Source: RNAcentral